UACGUAGGGGGCAAGCGUUGUCCGGAUUUAUUGGGCGUAAAGAGCGUGUAGGCGGCCAGAUAGGUCCGUUGUGAAAACUGGAGGCUUAACCUCCAGCUGUCGAUGGAAACCAUCUGGCUAGAGUCCGGAAGAGGAGAGUGGAAUUCCUGGUGUAGCGGUGAAAUGCGCAGAUAUCGGGAGGAACACCAGAGGCGAAGGCGGCGCACUGGACAGCAACUGACACUCAACUGCGAAAGCGUGGGGAGCAAACAGG
RNAcentral lists this ribosomal RNA (253 nucleotides) under uncultured bacterium. Its description in RNAcentral is "partial 16S ribosomal RNA". It matches the Rfam family "Bacterial small subunit ribosomal RNA", at positions 524 to 776 of the family's 1533-position model. The record is from RNAcentral.